Molecule: long non-coding RNA, 1141 nt
Filed under: Homo sapiens (human)
Lineage: Eukaryota; Metazoa; Chordata; Mammalia; Primates; Hominidae
Description: non-protein coding lnc-C2CD4B-5:4
Source: RNAcentral
CUGUGUGGAACAGCCCAGGCUCCUCAGAUUGAAACUUCUCUUUCUUCAUCAUUCAGUUAUCUAGCUGGUGUGAAGCCCCUGAUGCUAACCAGCAGUUACAGCAGCCCACAGACGAACGGGCACAGCUGGAAGCACACCUGGGGCAGGUGAGGCUUUGCAGAGGGAGGGAUGUGGAAGGAAGGUGACCCCAGGGGGCCAGAAGCAUGUGAGGACCAGACAGCCCUUCCUAACUUCUGUGCCCAUUCUUGCAGGUGAUGGAGUGGCUGAAGUAUCUGCAAAUGGAGAGAGAGCAGUAUGCCGAGUAUCUGCAUGGAGAGAGUGCCAUGUGGUGGCAGAGGAUGCGGGAGAUGUCAGAGCAGGUGCACACGUUGAGGGAGGAGAGAGUGCACAGCAUGAGUCGAGUACAGGAGCUGGAGACGAUCUUGGCUGAACUAAGGAACCAGGUGGGUAAGCUGGGGCUGGGGUGACCUGGGAGCAGGACUGGCAUCAGAGGGCUGUGGGGAUGGCUUAGAAUGCCAGAGAGGUGGAUGCAUGGAAAGGCUUUGAGGCAGAGGGAAAGAGGUCUGUGCCAGGAGACGGCAAGUCUUGUCAUCUCCACGAGCCUCAAUGUCCCCAUCAGCAAAGAGGAAAAAGUGCCUGUUGUCAGCCACCCACAGUUGUCUGUACCUGAAAGUGGCUUGGAAGAUUGGCUACCAUCAGGGCGCGAGGAGUUAUUAGCAGGGAGGCCAAGUCUGGGGAACCUGAGAGGAGCUAUGCACCAAGAGGAGGGUUUUUUUUGAGAAUCCAGAGGCCCUUAUUGUCGGCUUCCUUUCUCAGCUGAACCCCUGCCCCCGGAGCCUCCAGCAGGGCCCUCCGAAGUGGAGCAGAAGCUACAAGCAGAGGCUGAGCACCUGUGGAAGGAGCUGGAGAAUCUGGCAGGACAGCUUCAAGCCCAAGUGGAAGAAAAUGAGGGCUUGAGUCACCUGAACCAAGAGCAGGAAGAGGUUGCUCAGGUUGUUGGAGCAAGAGGAGAAGUUGCUGGAGCAAGAGGAGAGGUUGCUGGAGCAAGAGGAGAGGUUGCUGGAGCAAGAGGAGAGGCUACUGGAGCUGCAGGAGAGCCUGCUAGAGCAGAAGCGGAAGGCCGCUUCCUUUCUCAGCUGAA